RNAcentral lists this unclassified non-coding RNA (328 nucleotides) under soil metagenome. RNAcentral describes it as "partial contains 5.8S ribosomal RNA, internal transcribed spacer 2, and large subunit ribosomal RNA". The stretch from base 1 to 120 matches the Rfam family "5.8S ribosomal RNA", at positions 35 to 154 of the family's 154-position model. The record is from RNAcentral.
GAUGAAGAACGUAGCGAAAUGCGAUAAGUAAUGUGAAUUGCAGAAUUCAGUGAAUCAUCGAAUCUUUGAACGCACAUUGCGCCCCCUGGUAUUCCGGGGGGCAUGCCUGUCCGAGCGUCAUUACAACCUCAAGCUCAGCUUGGUGUUGGGCCCCGCCGCCCCGGCGGGCCCUAAAGUCAGUGGCGGUGCCGUCCGGCUCCGAGCGUAGUAAUUCUUCUCGCUCUGGAGGUCCGGUCGUGUGCUCGCCAGCAACCCCCAAUUUUUUUCAGGUUGACCUCGGAUCAGGUAGGGAUACCCGCUGAACUUAAGCAUAUCAAUAAGCGGAGGA